CGGUAAUGCUGCAAUCAGUUGAUUGUAAUUUUGGAUUGAGCAAACAUUCCCAUUUACAUUGCCCUCCAUAAUUAUUGGGACAGUGAAGAUUUUUUUUGUCUUUGGCUCUAUACUUCAUAAGUUUGGAUUUUAAAUUAAACAACGACCAUAUGAGGUUAAAGUGCAGAUUGUCAGAUUUAAUUUGAGGGUAUUUUCAUCCAUAUCGGUUGAAGAGUUUCGAAAUUACGGCACUUCUUGUACGUAGUGAUGAAUUGUGAAAUGAUGAUGAGUGAGAAAGUUACAGAUGCACAAAUAUCAUACCCCUCCCCAAAAAAUGCUAACCUCCCCUGUUAUUGUAUUGGUGAGAGGUUAGCAUGUCUUGGGGGUAUGAUAUAAAAUGCUAACCUCCCCUGUUAUUGUAAUGGUGAGAGGUUAGCAUGUCUUGGGGGUAUGAUAUAAAAUGCUAACCUCCCCUGUUAUUGUAUUGGUGAGAGGUUAGCAUGUCUUGGGGGUAUGAUAUAAAAUGCUAACCUCCCCUGUUAUUGUAAUGGUGAGGGGUUAGCAUGUCUUGGUGGUAUGAUAUAAAAUGCUAACCUCCCCUGUUAUUGUAUUGGUGAGAGGUUAGCAUGUCUUGGGGGUAUGAUAUAAAAUGCUAACCUCCCCUGUUAUUGUAUUGGUGAGAGGUUAGCAUGUCUUGGGGGUAUGAUAUAAAAUGCUAACCUCCCCUGUUAUUGUAAUGGUGAGAGGUUAGCAUGUCUUGGGGGUAUGAUAUAAAAUGCUAACCUCCCCUGUUAUUGUAUUGGUGAGAGGUUAGCAUGUCUUGGGGGUAUGAUAUAAAAUGCUAAUCUCCCCUGUUGUUGUAUUGGUGAGAGGUUAGCAUGUCUUGGGGGUAUGAUAUAAAAUGCUUACCUCCCCUGUUAUUGUAUUGGUGAGAGGUUAGCAUGUCUUGGGGGUAUGAUGAUCAUUCUUAGUAAUCUACUGGAGAACCAGUUCGGGUUUAAGUAUGCUUCUGUAUGAGUGAAGCUUUUAGUGAGAGGUUUAAUACUUUAAUAUACUUUAAUAAUUUCAGCCCUCAGAAUUUGUAUUCAUGAUAUAAGUAGGCAUGUUUAAUUUUGUCUGGUUUAGAG
This 1106-nucleotide long non-coding RNA is filed under the name Salmo salar (Atlantic salmon). Its description in RNAcentral is "lncRNA (ENSSSAG00000120703.1)". Lineage: Eukaryota; Metazoa; Chordata; Actinopteri; Salmoniformes; Salmonidae. The record is from RNAcentral.